This 253-nucleotide ribosomal RNA is filed under the name uncultured bacterium. RNAcentral describes it as "partial 16S ribosomal RNA". It matches the Rfam family "Bacterial small subunit ribosomal RNA", at positions 524 to 776 of the family's 1533-position model. The record is from RNAcentral.
UACGUAGGGGGCAAGCGUUAUCCGGAUUUACUGGGUGUAAAGGGAGCGCAGACGGCUGUGCAAGUCUGAAGUGAAAGGCAAGGGCUCAACCUUUGGACUGCUUUGGAAACUGUGCAGCUAGAGUGUCGGAGAGGCAAGUGGAAUUCCUAGUGUAGCGGUGAAAUGCGUAGAUAUUAGGAGGAACACCAGUGGCGAAGGCGGCUUGCUGGACGAUGACUGACGUUGAGGCUCGAAAGCGUGGGGAGCAAACAGG